Molecule: non-coding RNA, 1239 nt
Organism: Phoenix dactylifera (date palm)
Lineage: Eukaryota; Viridiplantae; Streptophyta; Magnoliopsida; Arecales; Arecaceae
Source: RefSeq, a predicted model, not a curated record
GGAUUUGCGGCUGCUGCGGCUCCUCUCUUCCGAUAGCGUUAUCAGUGUGGGUCCGUGACGAACUCCAGCCGCUUCCUUCGCCAUGGCUUCUGCCGCUCCACCUCCCGCCUCCUCCUCUUGGGGGUGCGGUCGUCGACGUCGAGUCCGGUGCUCCGCCGAACGCCAGGGGCUCUUUAGCCGCAUCGCUCCCGUCUACGACAACCAGCUGAACGAGGUGCUGAGCCUCGGCCAGCAUCGGAUCUGGAAGAGGAUGUCCGUCUCUUGGGCCGGAGCGAAAAGGAGCGAUCGAGUUCUAGAUUUGUGCUGUGGAAGCGGUGAUCUGGCGUUCCUCCUGUCCCAGAAAGUCGGACCUGAUGGCCAGGUGAGCGCUCUUGAUUUCUCAAAAGAUCAAUUGUUGAUUGCCACGGCUCGUCAAGAUUUGUACUGGAAGGCUUGCUACAAGAACAUCGAAUGGAUUGAGGGUGAUGCCCUUGAGUUACCAUUCGCAGAUAGCAACUUUGAUGCAAUUACAGUUGGAUAUGGAUUACGUAAUCUGCUUGACAAACAUAAAGCUAUGAAGGAGAUAUUUCGUGUUCUAAAGCCAGGCUCAAGAGUGUCUAUAUUAGAUUUUAACAAGAGCACCUCAACUCUGAUAACACAGUCUCAGGAAUGGAUGAUCGACAAUGUGGUUGUUCCUGUUGCAAGUAACUACGGGUUCUCGAGAGAGUACAGAUACUUGAAAGCCUCAAUUGCUGAAUAUUUAACAGGAAAAGAGUUGGAGAAGCUUGCCAAGGAAGUGGGAUUUUCCGAUGCUAAGCAUUAUGAAAUUGCUGGAGGCCUCAUGGGAAAUUUGGUGGCAGCUCGAUAGUGGACAGGACAAGCACUUCGGUGUAAUUUUGGAAUGCUGAUUUUUAAAGAGCGUUGGUUUGUAAAUAGUAUGUUUCGGCUGCUUCUGGUAACAAGACUGAACUAUUGGAUGGUUGGUUGGGGAUCGCUGAUCGCAGAGACGCAGAACCAUUUUAACUUGUCAUUGCGGUCUAUCCUAUCAAGCCAUGCCACCUUUUGAUGCAAUUACCAUGUCGUUCGGUUAAUGAAGGCUUCCGAAGGGUAAUGCUUACAUGUAUCCACACAUUCGCACGCACGAAUCUACUACUUGAUUGUUGUAACAAAUUCACAAUCCAUGUAGAGUCUGACUCCAUAAAUCUGCUGUGUAUAUUGUAUAGAAUAAAUGGAAAGGGAAAAAGACGAUUAGGGAAACUA